Molecule: non-coding RNA, 1575 nt
Organism: Coturnix japonica (Japanese quail)
Lineage: Eukaryota; Metazoa; Chordata; Aves; Galliformes; Phasianidae
Source: RefSeq, a predicted model, not a curated record
AAGAAAGAAAGAAAGAAAGAAAAGGAUUUGCAGCUUCUUAGUUGCUGGCAAUAGGAAGGUAUUUUCAUGCUGUCUGUCAAGUAUUUGAGGCUCUGCCUUAGCUUUCUGUAAUAAUGAGUAUAAUAAAAACAAAUUGGUUGUGGGCUUUGCAAGAUAUCAGGUGAGGGAAGCACUCAGACAGGCUCAGCUGCAGAAAGAGAGCAAUAUGGGCUGAUGCAGUCUGAGAGAGAAAAGACUACAGGAAAAAAAAGUGAGAGUUAACCAGAAACCCUGAGGGCUUGGGAGGAAAAGAGCCUGUGAGUGAGAGGAAGACAUCUUUUGAUGGAGCACAGCCAAGCACAGUGCCCAUCGGCAACGGUGACCCCAGUGAAGUGGUGAGCAAGCUCUCAGAUCUGGGGAUCUGGAAAGGACUCUGGCCUUUUUCGCUACUCUGAGAAGUUAUGUGGCUAGAAUGUGUUUGCCAUUGGAAUUGGAGCUGUUGGAUGGAGAAUGUCACCAGUAAGAGAGGGGAGCAGCCUUGGGCUGGACAGUUUUCAGACUGGAUUAAAAGAGAGCUCCUCCCUCAGCAGUUACACUUGUUUCAAUCAUACCCUGUUUGUCUUCAAAGGCAGCUGGGAUUAGGAGCCUAACACAUGCAAAGAGAGGUCCGGGAUAAGAAAUGGGCAAUGAAAAACAGCCACGGACAUUCAUGAAGAGUAAGUCAGCCUUCAGCCCCAGAUGUGUUCAUCUUGCCUUACAAAUAUUAAACGUAAUCCAGUAUCAGCUGUUGCACAGGGCUGGGGUAGGUUUGCCCCCAGAGAAUGAGCACAGGCAGAAACAUUAGCAGAACAAACUGAUAUCUGCAGCACAUUCCUGGAUGUGUUAAUAAAAGAGCUGCAGGGUAAAGCUCAGAGGAGACUAAUAAGUACAUAAAAAAAUACAUUUUAGUACUGCUGUGAGACAUAUUUAAGCAUUAGGCAGUCUAAGCAGUGAGAACAUUAAGUAACAGUAAGUUUGGCUAUAGUGAAUAAAGAAAAAAUAAAUUAUGCUUUGAUAGCAGCAAAGCCAUCCAUGAGUAUGAUAUGAUAUCAAGAUCAAGCCUUCAAAUUAAGAUGAGUGGGAAAGAUAAUAACAUUGUCUUAGAGGGGAAAAAAAUGGGCAUAAGAUUGUUAAAUAAGAUAAAGCCACCCGUUUUUCUAUACUUCUAUACUAAAUCACUGUGAAUCACCAAUGAAUUUGUCUGCAUGUGGAGUUGUACCAGCAAAGGUAAUCACUAAGGGAAAGAAUCUGAUUAUUCUACGUUAUUCUGGAGCUAUACAGAAAUUCGUAAGAUUAUUUUGACAGUGGAGAAAAAUACACAAUAAAAUGAUAAAAACACUGAAAGCCAAAGAGUGAGGUUGCUAUGCUCAAUAACAGUCCACAUUUAAUUGUUUUCAGAUGCUUAAUAAUGAUUCCAUUAAAACAAAACCAAACUAUGCUAAAAGAGCAGAAGGGGAUGGAAAGCAACUCUCUAGAAACCAUAGGAUCAUGGAGUCACAGAACCGCUUAUUUGGAAGGGACCUCAAGCAUCAUCAAGUUCCAACUCCCUUGCCGCAG